CCCCUUAGAUGUUCUGGGCCGCACGCGUGCUACACUGAGUGGAUCAGCGGGUCAGGUUGCGCGAAAGCGUUUCCUAAUCUUUAAAUCCGCUCGUGAUGGGGAUUGACGGUUGCAAUUUUCUGUCAUGAACGAGGAAUACCUUGUAAGCGCGGGUCAUCAUCCCGCGCUGAAUACGUCCCUGCCCUUUGUACACACCGCCCGUCGCUCCUACCGAUUGAGUGGUCCGGUGAGGCUUUGGGACUCGAGCGGAAAAAGCGUUUCGCUUGUUCUGCUUGGGAAACUCAGUCGAACCUUAUCAUUUAGAGGAAGGAGAAGUCGUAACA
RNAcentral lists this ribosomal RNA (323 nucleotides) under uncultured eukaryote. RNAcentral describes it as "partial 18S ribosomal RNA". It matches the Rfam family "Eukaryotic small subunit ribosomal RNA", at positions 1469 to 1796 of the family's 1831-position model. The record is from RNAcentral.